RNAcentral lists this long non-coding RNA (201 nucleotides) under Elaeis guineensis (African oil palm). Its description in RNAcentral is "long non-coding RNA (EGUI_LNC056444)". The record is from RNAcentral. Lineage: Eukaryota; Viridiplantae; Streptophyta; Magnoliopsida; Arecales; Arecaceae.
GCAACUCAUUGUGCUUUGGUACUGGACUAACUAAAUUUUUAAUUCAGUGACGAAAGAUUUUUGGGCACAGUCAAGUACUAGCAAAGUCAGAGUGUGAUCGAGAUGGGAUUGACCACUCCAAGAGUUGGAGAAGAAUGAGUCACUGUAUUUCAAUUUAGCAAAAUCUUGGUCAGGAUAAUCCAUCAGAUGGAUUUGAUAUUU